This 460-nucleotide ribosomal RNA is filed under the name uncultured bacterium. RNAcentral describes it as "partial 16S ribosomal RNA". It matches the Rfam family "Bacterial small subunit ribosomal RNA", at positions 338 to 795 of the family's 1533-position model. The record is from RNAcentral.
CCUACGGGAGGCAGCAGUGAGGAAUAUUGGUCAAUGGACGAGAGUCUGAACCAGCCAAGUAGCGUGAAGGAUGACUGCCCUAUGGGUUGUAAACCUCUUUUGUCAGGGAGCAACGCGGGCUACGUGUAGCCGGACGGAGAGUACCUGAAGAAAAAGCAUCGGCUAACUCCGUGCCAGCAGCCGCGGUAAUACGGAGGAUGCGAGCGUAAUCCGGAUUUAUGGGUUUUAAGGGGUGCGUAGGCGGAAUGCCAAGUCAGCGGUAACAUCGCGGGGCUCAACCUCGCUCCGCCGUUGAAACUGGCGUUCUUGAGUGGGCGUGAAGUAUGCGGAUUGCGUGGUGUAGCGGUGAAAUUCAUAGCUAUCACGCAGAACUCCGAUUGCGCAGGCAGCAUACCGGCGCCCAACUGACGCUGAUGCACGAAAGCGUGGGUAUCGAACAGGAUUAGAUACCCGGGUAGUC